UCUGUAGCGGGAUUUCAUUUAAUAAUUGGUGGAAAAAUAUGUCUAUAAACAUGAUCCAUGAAAUUUUAUAAGUGUCUUUUUACGAUUGAAGGGUGUUUGAAAUAAUUUGGCUUCAUUUCCCAAUAAUUAUUUAACAAGACUUUCUGGAUUUGUUAUUUGCCAUAAAUUGUAAAAUUGUGCCUGUUGUGAUGUUGUGAUGUUCAGACAAUUUAAUGUUACCUGAUAAACUAAGGUUAAUACUGAAACUUGCAUUUUCUGGUGCCUGAAUUUGAUUGACAUUCACAUAUUCUGAUCAUGCUUAUAAUUACCAUGUAGCUCAUAAUUAUAUACUUCUGGCUUUCAACGACACAACGACAUAAAGUUUACUCCUUUAAUUGAUAGAAAGAGGCAGUGAGGGGAAGAGUGCCUGUCAAGCUUUUCAUGUGUUUUGAGUCUCUGGAUACACAAAGAACAAAUUUUCUACAGUGGAUGUGUGAUUUGUGCAUGUAGAAUCACUUUUCUUUUCCCGUGUUUGUAGUUGUUUUCUUAAUCAAGCAAAUACAGUUGUUGCGGAGCAAUGUGGUCUUAAUAUCUAGCUGUAAUGCCCAUUAAACUGAAAAUUACCGUUUAGUCACUUUGUCAACCCAAUGAGGGGAUGUUGUCCUUCUGUAUGCAUCAAAAUAUCUUGAUAUAUACCUGUUGUUGUAAAUCUUUCUGGUUGUUAUGAUCUCAAAAGAGGAACCGAGGAAUGAAUAUUUUGGUAAAGAUAUCUUGGAAAACCUUAAGAAGGACAGAUACAUAGAUGUUAAAACUGAGACAGUGAUGCAGAUAGACGUGAGGUGCUGGCUGGGAGGGCCGAGAGCCUUCUCAUCUGCUUGAAACUGAGGUUCUCUGGCCUGCCUCAAACCACACUAGACAUAUGCAAGAUCCAAUGCAACAAGGAUGUGGGAAAAUCUAUAUUGGAGAGCUAUUCAAGAGUUCUUGAGAGCCUAGCAUUCAACAUUGUGGCACGUAUAGAUGAUCUGAUGUCUGUGGACGACUUGUCUUAAACAUUCGGAUCAGCUCAUCUCCAUGUCCAAAGUUGGUGUGCUCACUCACAAGAUUUUCGGGUAUAAGGCCACCUUUGCAGCUCGGAGCUUCUCACCUUCGCCGCUCAUCAGCACCCAUGCAAAGGGGAAGAGAGCGGCGCCAUACAAGGAUAACUGCAACCUCCCGCUUGGUGGAUUUGGGGUGAAGAAGAUCUUGACAGAUUAUUUGAGCAUAGAUGGGAAAAGGGAAGAAGAUGAUGAGAAGCAGCAUGGAGAGAUCGGAUUCGUUUCCGAGCACCCUACGAGAGAAUUCUACAGUGCAGUCUCUACUGUCGUUCGCCGUUCACCGUUCGCUCAUCAAACUUUGAGGGAGACUCAGCUGCCAUAUUUGAUAGGAUCGUUAUGUUAUUUUUCAGACUUUGAGAGAAUGGAUGUAUUUCUCGAUAACUGAGAGAAAAAGAAAGAUGAGACAGAGGGAGACCGUGAAAGAGAUCUUAAUUUUAAGAGAAAAUACCUUUUAUGUUAGGCUCUAUUUAGUUUAGACCCUAAAUUAAAUUUUUUAAUUGGCCCAUAGUGAAUAAAGAGAGAAAAACGAAAGUGCAUUUAUUUUAAUAAAA
RNA transcript from Salvia miltiorrhiza (redroot sage), 1624 nucleotides. It is a transcript of the gene named rop guanine nucleotide exchange factor 7-like, with no coding region annotated. Lineage: Eukaryota; Viridiplantae; Streptophyta; Magnoliopsida; Lamiales; Lamiaceae. The record is from RefSeq and is a predicted model, not a curated record. The transcript has 5 exons.